Molecule: long non-coding RNA, 224 nt
Organism: Wasmannia auropunctata (little fire ant)
Lineage: Eukaryota; Metazoa; Arthropoda; Insecta; Hymenoptera; Formicidae
Exons: 2
Source: RefSeq, a predicted model, not a curated record
CUCAUCGGAAGAGGAUUUUGUUUGUAAGUCACCAAAUGAAUCAAAGGAAAGUAAUACUUUGUCAAGUCAAUCUUCUUCUGCUGUAGGCAAAAGUUCAUCUUUUGUAAAAUCUCAUUAUAAUGAUAGCUGUCUUCAAACUAAGAAAUCUGAAAGCAAUAAUUUAUCUGACAACAAGGAAGCAAAUAUCUCUCUUGUACAUGUCAUCAAAACAUAUCAUAAUGAAA